UGCUCCCCCCCGUAAGCCCCCCGUGCCCCCGCCCCGCCCCCCGCGCGCGGCGGGCGGGGCGGGGGCACGGGGGGCCUACGGGAGGCAGCAGUGGGGAAUAUUGGACAAUGGGCGAAAGCCUGAUCCAGCCAUGCCGCGUGUGUGAAGAAGGUCUUCGGAUUGUAAAGCACUUUAAGUUGGGAGGAAGGGUUGUAGAUUAAUACUCUGCAAUUUGACGUA
Molecule: ribosomal RNA, 219 nt
Filed under: uncultured Pseudomonas sp.
Lineage: Bacteria; Pseudomonadati; Pseudomonadota; Gammaproteobacteria; Pseudomonadales; Pseudomonadaceae
Description: partial 16S ribosomal RNA
Rfam family: Bacterial small subunit ribosomal RNA
Source: RNAcentral